AUUGAACGCUGGCGGCAGGCCUAACACAUGCAAGUCGAGCGGCAGCGGGAAAGUAGCUUGCUACUUUUGCCGGCGAGCGGCGGACGGGUGAGUAAUGCCUGGGAAAUUGCCCAGUCGAGGGGGAUAACAGUUGGAAACGACUGCUAAUACCGCAUACGCCCUACGGGGGCAAGCAGGGGACCUUCGGGCCUUGCGCGACUGGAUAUGCCCAGGUGUGAUUAGCUAGUUGGUGAGGUAAUGGCUCACCAAGGCGACGAUCCCUAGCUGGUCUGAGAGGAUGAUCAGCCACACUGGAACUGAGACACGGUCCAGACUCCUACGGGAGGCAGCAGUGGGGAAUAUUGCACAAUGGGGGAAACCCUGAUGCAGCCAUGCCGCGUGUGUGAAGAAGGCCUUCGGGUUGUAAAGCACUUUCAGCGAGGAGGAAAGGUUGAUGCCUAAUACGUAUCAACUGUGACGUUACUCGCAGAAGAAGCACCGGCUAACUCCGUGCCAGCCGCCGCGGUAA
Molecule: ribosomal RNA, 508 nt
Filed under: uncultured bacterium
Lineage: Bacteria
Description: partial 16S ribosomal RNA
Rfam family: Bacterial small subunit ribosomal RNA
Source: RNAcentral